GAUGAACGCUGGCGGCGUGCCUAAUACAUGCAAGUCGAGCGAACAGAUGAGGAGCUUGCUCCUCUGACGUUAGCGGCGGACGGGUGAGUAACACGUGGAUAACCUACCUAUAAGACUGGGAUAACUUCGGGAAACCGGAGCUAAUACCGGAUAAGAUAUUGAACCGCAUGGUUCAAUAGUGAAAGACGGUUUUGCUGACACUUAUAGAUGGAUCCGCGCCGCAUUAGCUAGUUGGUAAGGUAACGGCUUACCAAGGCAACGAUGCGUAGCCGACCUGAGAGGGUGAUCGGCCACACUGGAACUGAGACACGGUCCAGACUCCUACGGGAGGCAGCAGUAGGGAAUCUUCCGCAAUGGGCGAAAGCCUGACGGAGCAACGCCGCGUGAGUGAUGAAGGUCUUCGGAUCGUAAAACUCUGUUAUUAGGGAAGAACAAAUGUGUAAGUAACUAUGCACGUCUUGACGGUACCUAAUCAGAAAGCCACGGCUAACUACGUG
RNAcentral lists this ribosomal RNA (497 nucleotides) under uncultured bacterium. Its description in RNAcentral is "partial 16S ribosomal RNA". It matches the Rfam family "Bacterial small subunit ribosomal RNA", at positions 28 to 507 of the family's 1533-position model. The record is from RNAcentral.